This 371-nucleotide non-coding RNA is filed under the name Platyophrya macrostoma. The record is from RNAcentral. Lineage: Eukaryota; Ciliophora; Colpodea; Cyrtolophosidida; Platyophryidae.
CACACACACACACACGCAACCAACCAAUGCUGUUCACAAAAAAAAAGAAAAAAAAAAGGAUGGACCUAUUUCUCUAUUUCCACACUAUUUCUUUUAUUUCCACUUCUUCAAAGCCACAACUCAAACUUUCAUUCUCAAAUUUCUCUCGAUUCUCUAAACUCAACUUUUGUUGCUCUCCUGUGUGCUUUUCGAUUGUCCGAUAUUUGACGGUAUGUAGCUGUGGGAAACACAACAUCAAAUGAGAAGAACAAGAGAGAGAGAGAGAAUAAAGAGCGAGAGAGAAUAUGUCGAAGAGACUGAUAAUUAGCAUUCAGCAAUCAACACGGACCAAAAAAAUACGCAUAACACACCGCUGAUAUUUUGUUCCACAG